RNAcentral lists this ribosomal RNA (253 nucleotides) under uncultured bacterium. Its description in RNAcentral is "partial 16S ribosomal RNA". It matches the Rfam family "Bacterial small subunit ribosomal RNA", at positions 524 to 776 of the family's 1533-position model. The record is from RNAcentral.
UACGGGGGGGGUAAGCGUUGUUCGGAAUUACUGGGCGUAAAGGGUGCGUAGGCGGCCUUGUAAGUCAGUGGUGAAAGCCUCCAGCUCAACUGGAGAACUGCCAUUGAUACUGCAAGGCUUGAGUACAGACGAGGUUGGCGGAAUUGAUUGUGUAGCGGUGAAAUGCAUAGAUACAAUCAAGAACUCCGAUUGCGUAGGCAGCUAACUAGGCUGUAACUGACGCUGAGGCACGAAAGCGUGGGGAGCGAACAGG